This 253-nucleotide unclassified non-coding RNA is filed under the name uncultured Parcubacteria group bacterium. RNAcentral's name for it is "contains 16S-23S intergenic spacer region". It matches the Rfam family "Bacterial small subunit ribosomal RNA", at positions 524 to 776 of the family's 1533-position model. The record is from RNAcentral.
UACAGAGGCCCCGAGCAUUACCCGGAAUUAUUGGGCGUAAAGGGUGUGUAGGUGGUCAUAUUAGUCGCCUGUUAAAUCCCAGGGCUUAACUCUGGAAUCGCGGGCGAGACGGUAUGACUAGAGAGCGUAAGGGGUGAAUGGAACUCAUGGUGUAGGGGUGAAAUCCGUUGAUAUCAUGGGGAACACCGAAAGCGAAAGCAAUUCACUGGUACGUUUCUGACACUGAAACACGAAAGCGUGGGUAGCGAACGGG